RNAcentral lists this unclassified non-coding RNA (253 nucleotides) under uncultured Cellvibrionales bacterium. RNAcentral describes it as "contains 16S-23S intergenic spacer region". It matches the Rfam family "Bacterial small subunit ribosomal RNA", at positions 524 to 776 of the family's 1533-position model. The record is from RNAcentral. Lineage: Bacteria; Pseudomonadati; Pseudomonadota; Gammaproteobacteria; Cellvibrionales.
UACGAAGGGUGCAAGCGUUACUCGGAAUUACUGGGCGUAACGCGCGCGUAGGCGGUUUGUUAAGCGAGAUGUGAAAGCCCUGGGCUUAACCUGGGAACUGCAUUUCGAACUGGCAGGCUAGAGUGUAGAAGAGGGGUGUGGAAUUUCCGGUGUAGCGGUGAAAUGCGUAGAGAUCGGAAGGAACACCAGUGGCGAAGGCGACACCCUGGUCUAACACUGACGCUGAGGCGCGAAAGCGUGGGGAGCAAACAGG